CCGCAGCCCUGGGCGGCCCAACUGCAGGUGAUGAAGUCCCUGUGCGCUGAAUCAUUAUGUAUCCACUCCCUACGCUUAUUAACCACACCUCGUCUCGCAAGUCGGCCCGCUGAUGCGCGAUUUAGUCUGUGGGGCAUCACCUUGCAAGCUUCAGCUAGUAAUUGACAGGGCUCUGCUGUCGCAAGCUAUCGAAAGCUCGCAAAGGGUUGCCACAGAAGCAAAAUGUGCCAGACUGUUCACAGCAAACGCCAUGCUAG
This 257-nucleotide long non-coding RNA is filed under the name Volvox carteri. RNAcentral's name for it is "long non-coding RNA (VCAR_LNC001643)". Lineage: Eukaryota; Viridiplantae; Chlorophyta; Chlorophyceae; Chlamydomonadales; Volvocaceae. The record is from RNAcentral.